RNAcentral lists this ribosomal RNA (163 nucleotides) under Cervaria cervariifolia. Its description in RNAcentral is "5.8S ribosomal RNA". It matches the Rfam family "5.8S ribosomal RNA". From Rfam's summary of the family: 5.8S ribosomal RNA (5.8S rRNA) is a component of the large subunit of the eukaryotic ribosome. Lineage: Eukaryota; Viridiplantae; Streptophyta; Magnoliopsida; Apiales; Apiaceae. The record is from RNAcentral.
AACGACUCUCGACAACGGAUAUCUCGGCUCUCGCAUCGAUGAAGAACGUAGCGAAAUGCGAUACUUGGUGUGAAUUGCAGAAUCCCGUGAACCAUCGAGUCUUUGAACGCAAGUUGCGCCCGAAGCCACUAGGCUGAGGGCACGUCUGCCUGGGUGUCACGCA